RNAcentral lists this ribosomal RNA (495 nucleotides) under uncultured bacterium. RNAcentral describes it as "partial 16S ribosomal RNA". It matches the Rfam family "Bacterial small subunit ribosomal RNA", at positions 28 to 507 of the family's 1533-position model. The record is from RNAcentral.
GACGAACGCUGGCGGCGUGCCUAAUACAUGCAAGUAGAACGCUGAGGGAAUAGCGUGGUUCGCUGGAUGAGUAGCGAUGGGUUGCGAAAGGGGGAGGAAACCUGAGUUAUACUGGCUGGUAGCGGUGGGUAACGAUAGCUAAUAACACAUAAGAGCGGAUGUUAUAUAUCAUUGGCUGAAAAGUUGCAGUUAGAUCACUUCGAGUCGCAACUGCGUUGUAUUAGGUUGUUGGUGGGGUAACGGCUGACCAAGGCGACGAUACAUAGCCGACCUGAGAGGGUGAUCGGCCACACUGGGACUGAGACACGGCCCAGACUCCUACGGGAGGCAGCAGUAGGGAAUCUUCGGCAAUGGACGGAAGUCUGACCGAGCAACGCCGCGUGAGUGAAGAAGGUUUUCGGAUCGUAAAGCUCUGUUGUAAGAGAAGAACGAGUGUGAGAGUGGAAAGUUCACACUGUGACGGUAUCUUACCAGAAAGGGACGGCUAACUACGUG